CCACGAACCGCACGAACGUUAUUCGGAAUCACUGGGCUUAAAGGGUGCGUAGGCGGUCCGGUAAGUUGGGUGUGAAAGCCCUCGGCUCAACCGAGGAAUUGCGCCCAAAACUACCGGACUUGAGGAAGACAGAGGUGAGCGGAACUUGCGGUGGAGCGGUGAAAUGCGUUGAUAUCGCAAGGAACACCAGUGGCGAAAGCGGCUCACUGGGUCUUUUCUGACGCUGAGGCACGAAAGCUAGGGGAGCGAACGGGAUUAGAAACCCUAGUAGUCC
RNAcentral lists this ribosomal RNA (274 nucleotides) under uncultured bacterium. RNAcentral's name for it is "partial 16S ribosomal RNA". It matches the Rfam family "Bacterial small subunit ribosomal RNA", at positions 523 to 796 of the family's 1533-position model. The record is from RNAcentral.